UCGAGAUUGUAGAAGAAUCAGAUGAAGAAAGCAGGGAAUGUAUGCACCCCAAAGUAUCUGUGGCUGAGAUCAUUUAGCUCCAAGCUCCCAUUACUUGCAAAGCAGUUACAAGGCCAAACAAAGAACAUAGAAACAACCCUCCCCCUACUGGAGGAUUUGUCCCUUACAAGUAGAAACAUAAGUCAUAUUCCUUCAACCUAUCUAAG
RNAcentral lists this long non-coding RNA (206 nucleotides) under Prunus persica (peach). RNAcentral describes it as "long non-coding RNA (PPER_LNC006878)". Lineage: Eukaryota; Viridiplantae; Streptophyta; Magnoliopsida; Rosales; Rosaceae. The record is from RNAcentral.